CCUACGGGGGGCAGCAGUGGGGAAUAUUGCACAAUGGGGGAAACCCUGAUGCAGCAACGCCGCGUGAGCGAUGAAGGCCUUCGGGUCGUAAAGCUCUGUCCUAAGGGAAGAAUACUGACGGUACCUUAGGAGGAAGCCCCGCCAAACUACGUGCCAGCAGCCGGGGUAAUACGUAGGGGGCUAGCGUUAUCCGGAAUUACUGGGCGUAAAGGGUGCGUAGGCGGCCCUUCAAGUCAGAGGUGAAAGGCUACGGCUCAACCGUAGUAAGCCUUUGAAACUGUAGGGCUUGGGUGCAGGAGAGGUGGGUGGACUUCCCAGUGUAGCGGUGAAAUGCGUAGGUAUUGCGAAGAACCCCAGUUGCGAAGGCUGCUCUCUGGACUGUAACUGACGCUGAGGCACGAAAGCGUGGGGAGCGAACAGGAUUAGAUACCCUAGUAGUC
RNAcentral lists this ribosomal RNA (440 nucleotides) under uncultured bacterium. RNAcentral's name for it is "bacterial SSU rRNA". It matches the Rfam family "Bacterial small subunit ribosomal RNA", at positions 338 to 795 of the family's 1533-position model. The record is from RNAcentral.